GGUUCUUACGGGAGGCAGCAGUGGGGAAUAUUGCACAAUGGGGGAAACCCUGAUGCAGCAACGCCGCGUGAGUGAAGAAGUAUUUCGGUAUGUAAAGCUCUAUCAGCAGGGAAGAGAACGACGGUACCUGACUAAGAAGCCCCGGCUAACUACGUGCCAGCAGCCGCGGUAAUACGUAGGGGGCAAGCGUUAUCCGGAUUCACUGGGCGUAAAGGGAGCGCAGGCGGCACGGCAAGUCUGGUGUGAAAACCCGGGGCUCAACCCCGGGACUGCAUUGGAAACUGCCGGGCUGGAGGGUCGGAGGG
RNAcentral lists this ribosomal RNA (305 nucleotides) under uncultured bacterium. Its description in RNAcentral is "bacterial SSU rRNA". It matches the Rfam family "Bacterial small subunit ribosomal RNA", at positions 334 to 656 of the family's 1533-position model. The record is from RNAcentral.